AGUCUUCACACGGCAUGGAUUGUUAGGGGCACCACUCCAGUUUCGUCCAAUAACCGUACCAAGAAGAGCCAAAGGAAAAGAAAUGAAAGCCCAAAUAACAAAGACCACAACCAUCGUACCAAAAGGAAUGGCUGCUAGAGACCCAUAGAAUAUAGCAAUAGUGUUCAAGAUGAACCCAAUUCCAAAGCACAAAAAUGGAAAUAGAGAUGCUGUGAAGAUCAUUGAUUUUAUCCAGUUUUUACCCCCAUUGCGUGAGUACAUCCCAGCACUAACAUAACCAGAAAUGGAUGACGUAAGAGCAUAGCAUACUAUGAAAGUUGU
Molecule: unclassified non-coding RNA, 321 nt
Filed under: Hevea brasiliensis (rubber tree)
Lineage: Eukaryota; Viridiplantae; Streptophyta; Magnoliopsida; Malpighiales; Euphorbiaceae
Source: RNAcentral